RNAcentral lists this transfer RNA (75 nucleotides) under Streptomyces sp. NRRL F-5122. It matches the Rfam family "tRNA". From Rfam's summary of the family: Transfer RNA (tRNA) molecules are approximately 80 nucleotides in length. Their secondary structure includes four short double-helical elements and three loops (D, anti-codon, and T loops). RNAcentral also lists the same sequence under 7 other names. The record is from Rfam by way of RNAcentral. Lineage: Bacteria; Bacillati; Actinomycetota; Actinomycetes; Kitasatosporales; Streptomycetaceae.
GGAGCCAUAGUGCAGAGGUCGUCGCGCGCGGUAUCCAAGAUCGCGAGGACGCCGGUUCGAAUCCGGCCGGUUCCG